AAAACAUGUUUUAAUUGAAUCAGGCCAAUUUCAAGAAAUACAGAUAGAUUUUAUUUUCGAGGGGAUUAGGAUGAUUUUAAAUAAUAAUUAUUUUUGUUCGAGGGAGACUUCUAUCUUCAGAUCAGAGGGAAUGCUAUGGGGACCAAGUUCGCACCGAUUUAUGCCAAUUUAUUCACGGCAUUUUGGGAAAAACAAUUUGUUUAUGGUGGCCAUGAAUUCGGUGCGCACUUGGUCCUCUAUAAGAGAUAUAUAGAUGAUAUCUUCCUGAUCUGGAAGGGACCUAUUCAACAAUUUUCAGC
This is a non-coding RNA of Pelobates cultripes (western spadefoot toad), 299 nucleotides long. NCBI's taxonomy places the organism in Eukaryota, Metazoa, Chordata, Amphibia, Anura, Pelobatidae. The record is from the annotation of a GenBank genome assembly.